Molecule: non-coding RNA, 96 nt
Filed under: Amborella trichopoda
Lineage: Eukaryota; Viridiplantae; Streptophyta; Magnoliopsida; Amborellales; Amborellaceae
Description: Bacterial small subunit ribosomal RNA
Rfam family: Bacterial small subunit ribosomal RNA
Source: Rfam by way of RNAcentral
AAUGGCAAUUACAAUGGGAAGCAAGACUGUGAGGUGGAUCGAAUCUGGAAAGAUUGCCUCAGUUCAGAUUGUUCUCUGCAACUCGGGAACAUGUUG